This 1987-nucleotide ribosomal RNA is filed under the name human gut metagenome. RNAcentral's name for it is "bacterial LSU rRNA". It matches the Rfam family "Bacterial large subunit ribosomal RNA", at positions 1 to 2007 of the family's 2925-position model. The record is from RNAcentral.
GAAAGUAAGCAAGGGCGCAUGGCGGAUGCCUUGGCUCUCGGAGGCGAUGAAGGACGUGAUAAGCUGCGAUAAGCUUCGGGUAGGUGCAAAUAACCUUUGAUCCGAAGAUUUCCGAAUGGGACAACCCGUCAUUCUGAAGGAAUGACAUCUUGCAUGGCAAGAGGCUAACGCAGGGAACUGAAACAUCUUAGUACCUGUAGGAAAAGAAAAUAAUAAUGAUUCCCCAAGUAGUGGCGAGCGAACGGGGAUUAGCCCAAACCAAUGUUGUUACGGCAAUAUUGGGGUUGUAGGACCACGAUGUCGCAAGAAAUUUAGUGAGAAGAACCCUUUGGAAAAUGGGACCAUAGACGGUGAUAGUCCGGUAUUCGAAGCUAAACGAAGCGUAGUGGUAUCCUGAGUAGCGCGGGACACGAGAAAUCUUGCGUGAAUCAGCCGGGACCAUCCGGUAAGGCUAAAUACUCCCGAGAGACCGAUAGCGAACCAGUACUGUGAAGGAAAGGUGAAAAGCACUUCGAACAGAAGAGUGAAAUAGUCCCUGAAACCGUGCGCCUACAAGCGGUCGGAGCUUCGUAAGAAGUGACGGCGUGCCUUUUGCAUAAUGAACCUACGAGUUACUUUUUCCGGCAAGGUUAAGCAUUUCAAAAUGUGUAGCCGAAGCGAAAGCGAGUCUUAAUAGGGCGACUAGUCGGAAGGAGUAGACGCGAAACCAAGUGAUCUACCCUUGGUCAGGUUGAAGGUUAGGUAACACUAACUGGAGGACCGAACCGAUAAGCGUUGAAAAGCUUCCGGAUGAACUGAGGGUGGGGGUGAAAGGCUAAUCAAACUUGGAGAUAGCUCGUACUCCCCGAAAUGCAUUUAGGUGCAGCCUCGGGAAUUACUACUGUGAGGUAGAGCGACUGAUAAGAUGCGAGGGCUUCACCGCCUAUCAAGUCUUGAUAAACUCCGAAUGCGCAGUAGUUCUAUCCCGGGAGUGAGGGCAUGGGUGCUAAGGUCCAUGUCCUAAAGGAGAAGAAUCCGGACCAUCAGCUAAGGUCCCGAAAUAAUUGCUAAGUUGAACUAACGAAGUCAGAUUGCUAAGACAGCUAGGAUGUUGGCUUGGAAGCAGCCAUUCAUUUAAAGAGUGCGUAACAGCUCACUAGUCGAGGAGUUUGGCGUGGAUAAUAAUCGGGCAUUAAGCAAUUUACCGAAGCUAUGGGAUCAGUAAUGAUCGGUAGGGGAGCAUUCCACUCUGCGUCGAAGGUGAAGCGUGAGCUUUGCUGGAGCGUGUGGAAAAGCAAAUGUAGGUAUAAGUAACGAUAAAGGGGGUGAGAAACCCCCUCGCCGAAAGACUAAGGUUUCCUGAUCAACGCUAAUCGGAUCAGGGUUAGUCGGGUCCUAAGGCUCAGCCGAACGGUGAGGCCGAUGGCAGAACAGGUUAAUAUUCCUGUACUACCUUAAGGAGUGACGUGGAGACGGAGGAGUGACAGCGCCGCGGACUGACGGAAUAGUCCGUUGAAGGGUGUAGAUGUUGAUUAUCCCAGGCAAAUCCAGGAUAAGAGUCGAACCUGAUAGUAUACCAAAUUCUUCGGAAUAAGGUAAUAGUGCGUGUAAGCAUACUCCCAAGAAAAUCCGCUAAACUUAAUCUUUAAGGUACCCGUACCGCAAACGGACACACGUAGUCGGGUUGAAUAUACUAAGGCGCUUGAGUGAUUCACGGUUAAGGAACUAGGCAAAUUGACCCUGUAACUUCGGGAUAAAGGGUCCCAACGAGAGUUGGGCGCAGAGAAUAGGUCCAGGCAACUGUUUAACAAAAACACAGGGCUGUGCUAAAUUGAAAGAUUACGUAUACAGCCUGACACCUGCCCGGUGCUGGAAGGUUAAGAGGAGAUGUCAUCGCAAGAGAAGCAUUGAAUUGAAGCCCCAGUAAACGGCGGCCGUAACUAUAACGGUCCUAAGGUAGCGAAAUUCCUUGUCGGGUAAGUUCCGACCUGCACGAAUGGUGUAAUGA